AGAGACAACCACAUCCAGCUACAAUCAACCAGGAACCACCACACCAACAACAGUGAUCUCUACAACUCAACCAACUCAAUCUUACUCCAGCCAUUCAACAUUUAACUCAACAAAAGAUCAAACUACAGGUUUCAGCCACAGUCAACCAGAAGACAAAACACCAUCACAAGACCCAUCUGCCAAGCGAUCUUUCACACGUUGUUGUAUGAAAGAAAUCAAGUAGCCAGUCUGAGGACACUGUAUGCUUAUCAGAUUUACUACAAAAACUGUAAGAAUCUUAUUUGAUCCUGUCUGUGAAAUGCAGGCUAAAAUGUUAAAAUCCUUUAUUGAGAUUAGAAGUUUCAAAGUUUGAUUUCAAUAAUUGAUUUCACAUUUCAAGCAUUGACAUGACCUUACUCAUUCAAUAUUAAUAUCCAGGUUAUGAUUCAUACAAUGUUCUUGGAUGAUUUUAUAGAAAACAGUAACUCACAAAUAAAGACUUUCGCUGGGUUUUCACAUCGAAGUGCAAUAAAUGUUUUAGGAAAAGCAUUUCAGGUGAAUGUAGUAAUCAAAAUAUAUUCAUUUGCAUUUCUAUGCGUUUGUUUAUCAGUUCCACAGAUCUUGUUCCCUGUUGUUUUUUGGUACAAAAGAUACCGUUUAACUAAAGCCUUUCCUUUUUUAAAGAUGUUAUUAUAAGUGGUUAUCAAGUGUUAGCAGGAUCUGUGGUUGUGCUUCUGCUAUUAAACAUGUUUCCUCUUUGCAG
Paramisgurnus dabryanus is the source of this 742-nucleotide non-coding RNA. The record is from RefSeq and is a predicted model, not a curated record. Lineage: Eukaryota; Metazoa; Chordata; Actinopteri; Cypriniformes; Cobitidae.